This 1432-nucleotide ribosomal RNA is filed under the name metagenome. RNAcentral describes it as "bacterial SSU rRNA". It matches the Rfam family "Archaeal small subunit ribosomal RNA". The record is from RNAcentral.
UCCCGUUGAUCCUGCGGGAGGUUGCUGCUAUUAGGAUUCGACUAAGCCAUGCAAGUCAGGUAGCUUCGUGCUGCCGGCAAAAUGCUCAGUAACACGUCGAUAAUCUGCCCUUAGGUUUGGGAUAACCUUGGGAAACUGAGGCUAAACCCAAAUAAAAGACUGGUUUUGGAAUGAUCUUUCUUUUAAAAGCAAUGCCUAAGGAUGAGUUGGCGGCUGAUUAGGCUGUUGGUGGGGUAAAGGCCCACCAAACCAAAGAUCAGUAGGGGCCCUGAGAGGGGUAGCCCCGAGAAGGGCACUGAGACACUGGCCCUAGCCUUACGGGGUGCAGCGGGCGCGAAACCUCUACAAUGCACGAAAGUGUGAUAGGGGAAUCCUAAGUGCUUAUGUUUUACAUAGGCUUUUGCCAAGAGUAAAUUCCUUGGCGAAUAAGCGGUGGGCAAGACUGGUGCCAGCCGCCGCGGUAACACCAGCGCCGCAAGUGGGAACCACAAUUAUUGGGCCCAAAGCGUCCGUAGCCUGUUUUGUAAAUCUCCUGUGAAAUUGUUCAGCUCAACUGAAUAGCUUGCGUGAGACACUACAGAACUUGAGACUGGGAGGAGUCAGAGUUAUUUUGGGGGGAGCGGUAAAAUGCUAUAAUCCCCGAAGGACCACCAGUGGCGAAGGCGUCUGACUAGAACGGAUCUGACGGUGAGGGACGAAAGCCAGGGGAGCGAUCGGGAUUAGAUACCCCAGUAGUCCUGGCUGUAAACGCUGCGAGCAAGGUGUUGCAUAUUCUAUAAGAAUAUGCAGUGUCGAAAUGAAGAUGUUAAGCUCGCCGCCUGGGAAGUAUGGUCGCAAGACUGAAACUUAAAGGAAUUGGCGGGGGAGCACUACAAGGGGUGCGGCGUGCGGUUUAAUCUAAUUCCACACAGAGAAUCUCACCAGAAGCGACGGCAGGAUGAAAGUCAGGCUGAAGGUCUUACUUAACAAGCCGAGAGGUGGUGCAUGGCCGCCGUCAGCUCGUGCCGUAAGGUGUCCUCUUAAGUGAGGCAACGAGCGAGAUCUGUACCCACAAUUGCCAGCGAACAAUUUUUGUGAUCGGGCACAAUGUGGGGACUGCCUUGGAAACAAGGAGGAAGGUGCAGGCUACGGUAGGUCUGUAUGCCCCGAAUCUUCUGGGCUACACGCGCGCAACAAUGGUAAAGACAAUGGGAUACAACUCCGAAGGAGAAGUUAAACCUCGAAACUUUACCUUAGUACAGAUUGAGGAUUGUAACUCAUCCUCAUGACGCUGGAAUCCCUAGUAAUCAGAUUUUAUCAGAGUCUGGUGAAUAUGUCCCUGCUCCUUGCACACACCGCCCGUCAAACCACUCGAGCAGGGUUUAGGUGAGCGUUAGACUCUUAUCUAACUCGAACCUAAGCUCAGUGAGAUGGGUUAAGUCGUCACAAGGUA